GAUGAACGCUGACAGAAUGCUUAACACAUGCAAGUCAACUUGAACUUCGGUUUGGGUGGCGGACGGGUGAGUAACGCGUAAAGAACUUGCCUCACAGCUAGGGACAACAUUUGGAAACGAAUGCUAAUACCUGAUAUUAUGAUUAUAUGGCAUCGUAUAAUUAUGAAAGCUAUAUGCGCUGUGAGAGAGCUUUGCGUCCCAUUAGCUAGUUGGGGAGGUAACAGCUCACCAAGGCGAUGAUGGGUAGCCGGCCUGAGAGGGUGAUCGGCCACAAGGGGACUGGGACACGGCCCUUACUCCUACGGGAGGCAGCAGUGGGGAAUAUUGGACAAUGGACCGAGAGUCUGAUCCAGCAAUUCUGUGUGCACGAUGAAGUUUUUCGGAAUGUAAAGUGCUUUCAGUUGGGAAGAAAAAAAUGACGGUACCAACAGAAGAAGUGACGGCUAACUACGUG
Molecule: ribosomal RNA, 454 nt
Filed under: uncultured bacterium
Lineage: Bacteria
Description: partial 16S ribosomal RNA
Rfam family: Bacterial small subunit ribosomal RNA
Source: RNAcentral